GACGAACGCUGGCGGCGUGCUUAACACGUGCAAGUCGAGCGGUAAGGCCCUUUCGGGGGUACACGAGCGGCGAACGGGUGAGUAACACGUGGGUGACCUGCCCUCAGCUCUGGGAUAAGCCUGGGAAACCGGGUCUAAUACUGGAUAUGACUCCAUGACGCAUGUUGUGGGGUGGAAAGCCUUGUGCGGCUGAGGAUGGGCCCGCGGCCUAUCAGCUUGUUGGUGGGGUGAGGCCUACCAAGGCGACGACGGGUAGCCGGCCUGAGAGGGCGACCGGCCACACUGGGACUGAGACACGGCCCAGACUCCUACGGGAGGCAGCAGUGGGGAAUCUUGCGCAAUGGGCGAAAGCCUGACGCAGCGACGCCGCGUGAGGGAUGACGGCCU
RNAcentral lists this ribosomal RNA (387 nucleotides) under uncultured bacterium. Its description in RNAcentral is "bacterial SSU rRNA". It matches the Rfam family "Bacterial small subunit ribosomal RNA", at positions 28 to 417 of the family's 1533-position model. The record is from RNAcentral.